RNAcentral lists this long non-coding RNA (301 nucleotides) under Homo sapiens (human). Its description in RNAcentral is "HSALNT0051241". The record is from RNAcentral. Lineage: Eukaryota; Metazoa; Chordata; Mammalia; Primates; Hominidae.
ACUACCGCUCCUGCCAUACCCCACGUGUUUACAUUUUGCACGCGCCUUUAAAAGGCGCGUCCCGAAAAGUUGCCACUCGGGGUAGCGUGUGCUGUGCUGGAGUGCUAGGAGUUCCACUAACGGGAAUGUUUUUGAGCCCCCUGCUACCUGUCAGGCACUGUUCAAGGAAACUUGCCUGGCUUGUCUCACAGAUCUCGCUGCGACCUUUGUAAGUCAGGCUCUGUUGUUGGUCACAUUUUACUGAAGAGUAAAGUUAGACACAGGAGACAUGGCUAAAGCCACUCAGCCAGCAAAUCGUGGA